This 495-nucleotide ribosomal RNA is filed under the name uncultured bacterium. RNAcentral's name for it is "partial 16S ribosomal RNA". It matches the Rfam family "Bacterial small subunit ribosomal RNA", at positions 30 to 507 of the family's 1533-position model. The record is from RNAcentral.
UGAACGCUGGCGGCGUGCCUAAUACAUGCAAGUCGAGCGAACAGACGAGGAGCUUGCUCCUCUGACGUUAGCGGCGGACGGGUGAGUAACACGUGGAUAACCUACCUAUAAGACAGGGAUAACUUCGGGAAACCGGAGCUAAUACCGGAUAAUAUAUUGAACCGCAUGGUUCAAUAGUGAAAGACGGUUUUGCUGUCACUUAUAGAUGGAUCCGCGCCGCAUUAGCUAGUUGGUAAGGUAACGGCUUACCAAGGCAACGAUGCGUAGCCGACCUGAGAGGGUGAUCGGCCACACUGGAACUGAGACACGGUCCAGACUCCUACGGGAGGCAGCAGUAGGGAAUCUUCCGCAAUGGGCGAAAGCCUGACGGAGCAACGCCGCGUGAGUGAUGAAGGUCUUCGGAUCGUAAAACUCUGUUAUUAGGGAAGAACAAAUGUGUAAGUAACUAUGCACGUCUUGACGGUACCUAAUCAGAAAGCCACGGCUAACUACGUG